AUCUAUGGAUUCAGUUCUUCU
This 21-nucleotide microRNA is filed under the name Salmo salar (Atlantic salmon). Its description in RNAcentral is "ssa-miR-146a-3-3p". Its record names the gene ssa-miR-146a-3-3p. The record is from miRBase by way of RNAcentral. Lineage: Eukaryota; Metazoa; Chordata; Actinopteri; Salmoniformes; Salmonidae.